Molecule: ribosomal RNA, 429 nt
Filed under: Bacteroidota bacterium
Lineage: Bacteria; Pseudomonadati; Bacteroidota
Description: Bacteroidetes bacterium partial 16S ribosomal RNA
Rfam family: Bacterial small subunit ribosomal RNA
Source: RNAcentral
UAGGGAAUCUUCGGCAAUGGGGGGAACCCUGACCGAGCAACGCCGCGUGAGUGAAGAAGGUUUUCGGAUCGUAAAGCUCUGUUGUUAAGGAAGAACGAGUGUGAGAAUGGAAAGUUCAUGCUGUGACGGUACUUAACCAGAAAGGGACGGCUAACUACGUGCCAGCAGCCGCGGUAAUACGUAGGUCCCGAGCGUUGUCCGGAUUUAUUGGGCGUAAAGCGAGCGCAGGCGGUUAGAAAAGUCUGAAGUUAAAGGCAGUGGCUCAACCAUUGUAGGCUUUGGAAACUGUUUAACUUGAGUGCAGAAGGGGAGAGUGGAAUUCCAUGUGUAGCGGUGAAAGGCGUAGAUAUAUGGAGGAACACCGGUGGCGAAAGCGGCUCUCUGGUCUGUAACUGACGCUGAGGCUCGAAAGCGUGGGGAGCGAACAGG